UUGCCGGAAGCAAUAAAAGGAUAUUAACCGUAGCAGAGAUCGGUGGAGUGAGAAGUUAAGCAAAAUCCACUUACUGGUAACACCAAUGGAUGAGGUAAGCGUCGUUGUUGGAAUGACACGGUAAUCACAAUCAGAUAUAACGAUAAGAAAAGACGCUAUGGGACCGUUUCCGGGAACUUGUAGAUCAAGGCAGUACUGACGCAAUCAAAGAGGAUGACGGUAAGUAGUCAAAAAUCAGAGUGCGCAACAAGUUUUGGUUGAGAAUGUAGUCAGCAGAUUGGCCUUUAGGCCAACAACUCUUUGAGAGGAAAGUUUCAUUCCAAGAGACUGAAUGUGAUUGACCACAAGAUGAUUGACGAACGUGUGACAAUUAGUGCAUACACUCCCACUUAAAUCUUGGAUUAAUAGUAACGAAGUACUCUUGAGAGCAGAGACUGCGUUUGAGAAACACGGUUCAACUUAGAAGUUUAACACGGUGAACUAGUAAGAAUAAGUAUGCUUUGAUGUAAUUCGAAGACUACAGAAAAAGGGACUGUUAUACCAUGUGCGUUUGAACUGAGGGAGGAUGACAUAAGAGACUAACAGAUGAUGAACUCACAUAUAAGAGUUGUAAUAUGGACUGAGGUGUGAGUUCGAUGUCAUGAAAUGGACGAUUGGGAUUUCCGAUGGUAACAUAAGAAACUGCUAACGCAGUAAAAAGUGAUGAUUAGUAACCAAUGAACGGCAAGCCAUGAUCGGUAAAGAAGAUAUGUCAAGGGAUUUUGGAAAGAACAUAAACGAUUUACCAUGGUUAUCCUGGUGAUGAAUGAAGAAGUUUCGAAUUUCGAGGACGAAAUUCAUUUAAGGGGGGUAGAUUGUAACAACCCACUUAAUUAAUAGUAGUAAUAUUAAUUAGAGACAGUUGAGAAUUUAAUUACAAGAAAAAAAUUGGACAAGUGAAGGAUAUGGAAAUUACAUAAGUGUAAAUUGGAAUAACUUGUGAAGGACAAAAUAGUAAUUUUGUAGUAAUAGCCAUAUAAGUUCCAAGAUGAGAAGAACAACUCUCUUUCUCAAAACACUCUCACGCCCAACCUCCCUUUCUCACCAUAACCACAAACUUCAUACUCCAUUAAUCCAUCAAAUUUCUUAAUGCAUGUAUGAAUUCUUCUUAACCCAUCAUCAAUUAAACUCAAUAGAAGCAAAAACCAACCCUAUCUUCCUCUCCUUCCCACUCUUAGCCACAAACCCCUUUCUUCCUCACAAACUCAUACCUUCCACCAUUUGCACGAAUUUCUUAUGGGUAGCUUGUAGAUGUUGGAAACCAAUGUAAUGUAAGCAUUCCUAAACUUUCCCCUCUUCUGUGUUGAUUUGACCGAUUUUGAUGGUUAGAGAAUGAGAUAGUUAUUAUCCGAUUUCCCUUGAAAGUGAAGGUUGAAAGAAGUCAUGUUUCACUGUUAGUUUGGAAUUUCAGCAAAGAUGUGGACUUGUAACAGUGGAGACUAAAGAUUGAAGCUUGGAAGAAAUUGAAGAGAAUGGAAAAGAAAGAAAUUGGAAGGAUUUGGGUUAAACCCGUAUUCUGGACAGACCUCCACUAAAAAGUUUCAUGGAUUUCUAAGCAGUAAUGAAUUCGGAAGAAGCAUUUGAAGUUCGAGGUCUGAUGCAGAACUUUGGGCUACGGGUUUAGAGUGUUGUGGCUGCAAAUUCUGUUUUUCAACUAGCUCCGAAUAUGUUGUUAGCACGAUUCAAACGUCAUGUUCAGGUAACAGGUUGAGCAUGAUAAAUGGAUUUUCAAGAGGAUUGAAGUAAAGACGCUGUUUAUGGAAACUUCGUAGCAUUCACCUGUUAAAUUAUUAUAGAAGAUGAUUCAAGGCUUGAUCCUGAUUGUUAUGCAUUCUAUUUCGCUCUGAUGUAUAAUAUAUUAUAGGUUGUACAUUAUGACAGUUUAUUCAGGAUUUUGUCAAGAUUAUGUAUUGUCUGGCAAAUUAUCUUGUAAUUGUACUAUGUCGGACAAAAGUUAUUCUGUAAUUUUAAUGUUUCCCGAUUCAGUUAUGUAUGCUCCUAUUGA
Long non-coding RNA from Trifolium pratense (red clover), 2044 nucleotides. RefSeq lists it as uncharacterized. Lineage: Eukaryota; Viridiplantae; Streptophyta; Magnoliopsida; Fabales; Fabaceae. The transcript has 3 exons. The record is from RefSeq and is a predicted model, not a curated record.